AUUGAACGCUGGCGGUAUGCUUAACACAUGCAAGUCGAACGGAAACGAUACUAGCUUGCUAGUAGGCGUCGAGUGGCGGACGGGUGAGUAACGCGUAGGAAUCUGCCUGAUAGUGGGGGAUAGCCCGGAGAAAUUCGGAUUAAUACCGCAUAAUCUAUUCGUAGUAAAGUGGGGGACUUUCGAGCCUCACGCUAUCAGAUGAGCCUGCGUAAGAUUAGCUAGUUGGUAGGGUAAAAGCCUACCAAGGCGACGAUCUUUAGCUGGUCUGAGAGGAUGAUCAGCCACAUCGGGACUGAGACACGGCCCGAACUCCUACGGGAGGCAGCAGUGGGGAAUAUUGGACAAUGGGGGCAACCCUGAUCCAGCAAUACCGCGUGUGUGAAGAAGGCCUGAGGGUUGUAAAGCACUUUCAAUUGUGAAGAAAAGUUAGCGGUUAAUAACCGUUAGCCUUGACGUUAACUUUAGAAGAAGCACCGGCUAACUCCGUGCCAGCAGCCGCGGUAAUACGGAGGGUGCAAGCGUUAAUCGGAAUUACUGGGCGUAAAGCGUGCGUAGGCGGUUUAUUAAGUCAGAUGUGAAAGCCCCGGGCUUAACCUGGGAACUGCAUUUGAAACUGGUAAACUAGAGUAUGGUAGAGGAAAGUGGAAUUUCUGGUGUAGCGGUGAAAUGCGUAGAUAUCAGAAGGAACAUCAAUGGCGAAGGCAGCUUCUGGACCAAUACUGAC
RNAcentral lists this ribosomal RNA (724 nucleotides) under bacterium IMCC11488. RNAcentral describes it as "bacterial SSU rRNA". It matches the Rfam family "Bacterial small subunit ribosomal RNA", at positions 28 to 744 of the family's 1533-position model. The record is from RNAcentral.